GAGGCUAUAGCUCAAGUGGUAGAGCGCAUGCUUAGCAUGCACGAGGCCCUGGAUUCAAUCCCCAGUACCUCCU
Molecule: transfer RNA, 73 nt
Organism: Camelus ferus (Wild Bactrian camel)
Lineage: Eukaryota; Metazoa; Chordata; Mammalia; Artiodactyla; Camelidae
Rfam family: tRNA
About the family: Transfer RNA (tRNA) molecules are approximately 80 nucleotides in length. Their secondary structure includes four short double-helical elements and three loops (D, anti-codon, and T loops). Further hydrogen bonds mediate the characteristic L-shaped molecular structure. tRNAs have two regions of fundamental functional importance: the anti-codon, which is responsible for specific mRNA codon recognition, and the 3' end, to which the tRNAs corresponding amino acid is attached (by aminoacyl-tRNA synthetases). tRNAs cope with the degeneracy of the genetic code in two manners: having more than one tRNA (with a specific anti-codon) for a particular amino acid; and 'wobble' base-pairing, i.e. permitting non-standard base-pairing at the 3rd anti-codon position.
Source: Rfam